UACGAAGGGUGCAAGCGUUACUCGGAAUUACUGGGCGUAAAGCGCGCGCAGGCGGUUCUUCAAGUCAGAGGUGAAAGCCCAGAGCUCAACUCUGGAAUGGCCUUUGAGACUAGAGAACUUGGGUACGGGAGAGGUGAGUGGAAUUCCGAGUGUAGAGGUGAAAUUCGUAGAUAUUCGGAAGAACACCAGUGGCGAAGGCGGCUCACUGGCCCGUUACCGACGCUCAGGCGCGACAGCGUGGGGAGCAAACAGG
Molecule: ribosomal RNA, 253 nt
Filed under: uncultured bacterium
Lineage: Bacteria
Description: partial 16S ribosomal RNA
Rfam family: Bacterial small subunit ribosomal RNA
Source: RNAcentral